CUAUCCAUGCUUAGGUAUGGAGUUUUAAACUUAAUUCAUAUUUAGAUAUGAUCUAAAUAUAAUUUAGAUAUAAUCUAAUUUGAUAUAGAUAUGAUCUAUGUUUGCUGAAUUUUAGAUUUUAGAUUUACAUAUAUGCAUAUUAGUUCAUAUUAUAGAUCCUGUAUGGUAGUUUUAGAUUUGAUCUAUACAUGCAUUAUAGAUUAACUUAUUUAAUCUAUGUAUGUUUCACUAUAAAAUUUAAAAAAUGCAUGCACAAAACCAUCAUGC
Molecule: long non-coding RNA, 267 nt
Filed under: Elaeis guineensis (African oil palm)
Lineage: Eukaryota; Viridiplantae; Streptophyta; Magnoliopsida; Arecales; Arecaceae
Description: long non-coding RNA (EGUI_LNC055635)
Source: RNAcentral